Long non-coding RNA from Oryzias melastigma (Indian medaka), 1667 nucleotides. RefSeq lists it as uncharacterized. The transcript has 7 exons. Lineage: Eukaryota; Metazoa; Chordata; Actinopteri; Beloniformes; Adrianichthyidae. The record is from RefSeq and is a predicted model, not a curated record.
AGUAAAUAAAAGGUAGAAUACACUAGAUCUCUAUAUAAAGGUUAUUUUGUUGUCAUUUCUACAAGAUUUUGAGACUAAAAGAACAUGAGUUGUGGAGGUGUUUAUGGAGGAGGACAGUUUACAAAGAUAAUUCCCUGGCACCAGUCCACAGAGCCCGUUCCUCUCCACCGUCCACCAGCCGUCCUCCCCCUGCACCAACAGUCGGACCACAUCCCCCCUGCUCACAGACAGCUCGUCCCCCUCCUGCUCAGUCCAUGUGAAGACGUCAAAUGUUGGUGCAGAUCCAGGUGACACAUAGUCGCAGCCUUUUGAAGACGAGCGCUGAGCCGAGUGGGCACUCGGCAAGAAAAAAGGGAAUCUAUCAUUUCACACUGGAAGGAAAUCCAGCCUGGGCAACUAUUGUCCUGAAUAAUAGCCAUCUGUUUUAAGACAAUGCAUGCUGCGAGGAGAGCAGCUCAGGACCGUUUUACGAUUCUGAGGUGUGAGGACCACCCCUUCCCCCCCUGACCCUCUCCGCGUGUGUCUUCACCCAGUGUCCACCUGAGGUCCCAGGACAGCAGUUACGGAGGACGAAUGCUCAGCUCUGCUCUGAUGGCCACCUCUUCGUUAAGCCUGUAUCUUUCACCACGCUGCUGACUCUCCAUACAGCUCGGCUCGUCAGGACGGUGUUGUGUUCUGGUCUCUCCAGGGCUCGGGGGCCAAAGUGAUGCCGCCUCACGUUAACCCCGGGUGAAAGGUUUGGGCUGCACUGUCCACCCCCACACCGCCCCCACCUUCAAACCCACCAGCCGCCCUGCCACCAGAACAGACUGCUGUGCCAGGCUUCCCUCCAGGCCACAGCGCUGCAAAAGUGACAACAUAAGGUCCAUUCUGUUCCCUGUCACUCACAGCCCCAGGCCCACUGUUAAAUGGAAAAGGCUUUUAGAGGCAGUAAAUGGAGGGAGGGAGCGAGAAAUGUCCAAGGAAUGCAGCCAGCAUGCCUUAUUCUCCAACCCCACACAACCAUGGCCCACCCUGCCUCUCCCACCCUCCCCUGUUUUUCCCCGUCUACAAGUUUGGCAAAGCCCAUGACCUCCCAGUGCAGCUCCCUUGGUGACCCAUAAUGGUUUAUUUUGUGUCAAAUCGCAUUUUAGUUUCACUCUCCUCAGAUUUCCAGGACAAAGUUAGCAGUUGUGCAACUCAAGCCUGUCAUGAGCUCAGAUGUUUACAAUGCCUGCAUGCCAUUGUUUGUGACACCUUUCAAAUAAAAGGUAGCCAAGACGGACAGUGUUUACAGGAUGCUGCAAGCUGCCAUGGAGGUGGUUGUUAGUUGUGUCCACUGGGAUGGUGUUUGGAGGCUAAUUUGAUGCUUUUUGAGGUUACCCCUGCCUCCUGUCUGCGGCUCUGAGGUCCCUGCUUUGACGCUUCAUGGUCACCCCAUGCAUUGUGCAUAAUACUUUUGAAAGCUUUGGCGUAAUUGGUGGUGGCCUUCUGUGUUGUACCCAAACAACACUGUCACUUUUUCAAAAUUAUUUUGGGACUGACUUGAUGGAAGCCGAAAAUUUUGGGUGUGAAAAACUGAUCAAAUCAAAACGUUUUUCUUUACUGAUUCUAGAGUUCAUUACAGAGCCUGAGUAUUAACUCGUUGAUGCCGGAAUUUAUUUUCAACAAUAAAAAAAAUAAAAAAA